This 253-nucleotide ribosomal RNA is filed under the name uncultured bacterium. RNAcentral's name for it is "partial 16S ribosomal RNA". It matches the Rfam family "Bacterial small subunit ribosomal RNA", at positions 524 to 776 of the family's 1533-position model. The record is from RNAcentral.
UACGUAGGGGGCAAGCGUUGUCCGGAUUUAUUGGGCGUAAAGAGCGUGUAGGCGGCCAGGCAGGUCCGCUGUGAAAACUCGAGGCUCAACCUCGAGAGGUCGGUGGAAACCGUCUGGCUAGAGUCCGGAAGAGGAGAGUGGAAUUCCCGGUGUAGCGGUGAAAUGCGCAGAUAUCGGGAAGAACACCCGUGGCGAAGGCGACUACCUGGCCUGUUCUUGACGCUGAGGCGCGAAAGCUAGGGGAGCAAACGGG